RNAcentral lists this ribosomal RNA (170 nucleotides) under uncultured rumen bacterium. Its description in RNAcentral is "partial 16S ribosomal RNA". It matches the Rfam family "Bacterial small subunit ribosomal RNA", at positions 340 to 524 of the family's 1533-position model. The record is from RNAcentral.
UACGGGAGGCAGCAGUGGGGANNAUUGGGCAAUGGGCGAAAGCCUGACCCAGCAACGCCGCGUGAAGGAAGAAGGUCUUCGGAUUGUAAACUUCUUUUAUGAGGGACGAAGGAUGUGACGGUACCUCAUGAAUAAGCCACGGCUAACUACGUGCCAGCAGCCGCGGUAAU